This 549-nucleotide ribosomal RNA is filed under the name uncultured bacterium. RNAcentral describes it as "partial 16S ribosomal RNA". It matches the Rfam family "Bacterial small subunit ribosomal RNA", at positions 355 to 895 of the family's 1533-position model. The record is from RNAcentral.
UGGGGAAUUUUGGACAAUGGGCGAAAGCCUGAUCCAGCAAUGCCGCGUGUGUGAAGAAGGCCUUCGGGUUGUAAAGCACUUUUGUCCGGAAAGAAAUCCUUGGCUCUAAUACAGUCGGGGGAUGACGGUACCGGAAGAAUAAGCACCGGCUAACUACGUGCCAGCAGCCGCGGUAAUACGUAGGGUGCAAGCGUUAAUCGGAAUUACUGGGCGUAAAGCGUGCGCAGGCGGUUUGCUAAGACCGAUGUGAAAUCCCCGGGCUCAACCUGGGAACUGCAUUGGUGACUGGCAGGCUAGAGUAUGGCAGAGGGGGGUAGAAUUCCACGUGUAGCAGUGAAAUGCGUAGAGAUGUGGAGGAAUACCGAUGGCGAAGGCAGCCCCCUGGGCCAAUACUGACGCUCAUGCACGAAAAGCGUGGGGAGCAAAACAGGAUUAGAUACCCCUGGUAGUCCACGCCCUAAACGAUGUCAACUAGUUGUUGGGGAUUCAUUUCCUUAGUAACGUAGCUAACGCGUGAAGUUGACCGCCUGGGGAGUACGUCGCAAGAUU